RNAcentral lists this long non-coding RNA (203 nucleotides) under Monodelphis domestica (gray short-tailed opossum). RNAcentral's name for it is "lncRNA (ENSMODG00000049832.1)". The record is from RNAcentral. Lineage: Eukaryota; Metazoa; Chordata; Mammalia; Didelphimorphia; Didelphidae.
GGCUUUAGACAUAGUGAUUUGAGAAUAAACAAGGAUCUUAGAGGUGGCCAAUUCUGAUCUGCCAUCUGCCCUCCAGGGUCACCGCUACAAUCAUGGGAGCAAUAGCAACCGCCUUAUUGGCAUCUGGAGUAUCAGUAUGAGUGGAAGGUGGAGGAAUGGGCAGGCACAGAGUGCUACAUGAGAAUAAACAUUGUGCACUGGUU